This 235-nucleotide non-coding RNA is filed under the name unclassified sequences. RNAcentral's name for it is "FuFi-1 RNA". It matches the Rfam family "FuFi-1 RNA". The record is from Rfam by way of RNAcentral.
UCUAUCAGCUAUUGGCUUUAAACUUGCAGAACUAAAACUGCAUAAGUGAUAGGAUACCCUAUAGAAAGAGAAAGGCUAUUUUUUUCUAAGGUUUUUUAAAUCUCCCUUAUAAUUAAUUUUUGAGAGAAAUUUUGAGAGUUGAUUUAAGGAAAAAGAUUAAAAAACUUUUGCAAGGUAUAAAAAGUUAAAAAAUUUAGACAUUAAAGAUUAGAGAAUAGCCCUUUAAUCUUUUUUG